UGGUUGGUGUAUUGUAUAGUUCUAGGGAUUGUAUUUCACUCAAAACCCACCAAAUGACUCCUCCCACAAUAUUAUGAUGUUCCCCAAGUUUUGGACUCAAUCCGAUAUCGAUUGGUCCUUGAAAUCGGACAAUUCAGGUUCGUACGAAGUUCGUUCUGAAAUGGGGUGGUUGGUGUAUUGUAUAGUUCUAGAGAUUGUAUUUCACUCAAAACCCAUCAAAUGACUCCUCCCACAAUAUUAUGAUGUUCCCCAAGUUUUGG
This 260-nucleotide long non-coding RNA is filed under the name Prunus persica (peach). RNAcentral describes it as "long non-coding RNA (PPER_LNC008794)". The record is from RNAcentral. Lineage: Eukaryota; Viridiplantae; Streptophyta; Magnoliopsida; Rosales; Rosaceae.